This 219-nucleotide unclassified non-coding RNA is filed under the name uncultured fungus. Its description in RNAcentral is "sequence contains ITS1, 5.8S rRNA gene". The record is from RNAcentral. Lineage: Eukaryota; Fungi.
UUGAUUCAACCCCAAUGGGAGGGAAGUCGCUUUGCAGCUGUGCUGGCCUUGUCACCAAGGCAUGUGCACGCUCGGGCUUCUUCCUUUCUUCAUUGACACACCUGUGAACCCGUUGUAGGGCAUCUCGCAAGGGAUGCGCUAUGUCUUUUCAUAUACUCCAUUGUAUGUCGAUAGAAUGUUGUCUUUUUGCUCUCGUCAGAGACAAAUAGAAAAGCUUUA